CAUGUGUCCCUGCACCCCAACCCCCAGCAACCACUGAGCUCUUCUCCAGUACAGUUUAGUCUCUUCAAGAAUCCCUUCGUCUGGAGAGUGACUUCUUUCAUUCAGCAUAAUGCCUUUGAGAUUCAUCUAAGUUGGUGAAGAUAAAGGGCUUCUUGCCAGGACAAGGAGGAUGCUCUAAAUGGGGGCCUCAAAGUAAGUCCCAAUUCUUACAAACAUUUUCUCAGUCUUGCAAAAUGUUUCCUUUGGUUUGGUUUUAAUGUGGGUAGGCGGACCAUUGUAGAAAUAAUAAAGGUGACUCACCUGUCCUGUGCUAAAGCGACUGCAAGCAAGCCCGCAGCUACCCCACCGCACUGCCAGUGGGUGGUCAGACAGGCCAAGGGGCCCCAGGGCUGUCUCUUGAUCACACAACCGUCCUGGAGCACUCAGGGUGCAGAUGGGCCGGUGGGCAGUGGAGAUUCUGGAGGGUUCCAGGGCAGGAAAGCACACUGCUCUCUAUGCUGGCUCCAUCGCCAAGCCUCGUUUUUGUUAUUUCUUUCUCUUAUUUUACUUUUUCAUCAAGGGACAUUGUAAACAUACUCAAUAGUAGAAUAGGAUAACAAACCCCCAGCUCAGGGCCAAAACUGUUUCAACGGACUCACACCCUCUCCCCUCGUGGUAAACUAUAAGGAUUCUUUAAAAACACAAUUACCAUUAUCACUCCUAAAAUAUUGAACAGUUACUUAAUAGUUUCAAAAUUCUGAGCCCUCGUCUUGAAGGUACGUUAGAGUCUUCCAGGCAGAAAGACGAUCGUCCGUCUAGCCCGAUGGUCCCCAACCCCGGGGAUGGGGAAGACUCCCAUUCACCCAGGAAGCCAGGGACAGAGAUGCGGCCCCUAUUCUUCCCCGCGGUCGGUCAAGACCUGCUCCGAUUGGCCCGGCGCGGAGCCGUCUGUCCGUGGGCGGCACCGACCACAGAGCGAGGGGAGAGAGCGCUCAGCACAGCGCACUGGCGCCCGGGGGCCCACCUUCCAGGAGCGGGCGCACCUCUCUCGGGUUAGAGGCUCCGGAACCGC
Long non-coding RNA from Bos taurus (domestic cattle), 1051 nucleotides. NCBI's taxonomy places the organism in Eukaryota, Metazoa, Chordata, Mammalia, Artiodactyla, Bovidae. The record is from Ensembl.